GUGCCAGCCGCCGCGGUAAUACAGAGGUGGCAAGCGUUGUUCGGAAUUACUGGGCGUAAAGGGCGAGUAGGCGGCCUUCUAAGUCAGACGUGAAAUCCCCCGGCUUAACCUGGGAACUGCGUCUGAUACUGGGAGGCUAGAGUUUGGGAGAGGGGUGUAGAAUUCCAGGUGUAGCGGUGAAAUGCGUAGAUAUCUGGAGGAAUACCGGUGGCGAAGGCGGCACCCUGGACCAAUACUGACGCUGAUCCGCGAAAGCUAGGGGAGCAAACGGGAUUAGAAACCCUCGUAGUCC
RNAcentral lists this ribosomal RNA (292 nucleotides) under uncultured bacterium. RNAcentral describes it as "partial 16S ribosomal RNA". It matches the Rfam family "Bacterial small subunit ribosomal RNA", at positions 505 to 796 of the family's 1533-position model. The record is from RNAcentral.